RNAcentral lists this ribosomal RNA (782 nucleotides) under uncultured bacterium. Its description in RNAcentral is "bacterial SSU rRNA". It matches the Rfam family "Bacterial small subunit ribosomal RNA", at positions 563 to 1347 of the family's 1533-position model. The record is from RNAcentral.
AAGCGUUUCUAAAGGCUCUUUUGUAAGUUAUCUUUUAAAGACCGAAGCUCAACUUCGGGAAGGGAGAUAAUACUGCAAGAGUCGAGAUAUUUCGGGGUUACUAGAACUAUUGGUGUAGGGGUGAAAUCCGUUGAUAUCAAUAGGAAUUCCAAGGGCGAAGGCAGGUAACUAGGAAUUUUCUGACGCUGAUGAACGAAAGCUAGGGGAGCGAAAGGGAUUAGAGACCCCUGUAGUCCUAGCCGUAAACUAUGCUCGCUAGACCAGCGGAUUUAUCUGCUGGACGUAAGCUAACGCGUGAAGCGAGCCGCCUGGGGAGUACGGCCGCAAGGCUAAAACUCAAAGGAAUUGACGGGGAGGCGCACAACCAGUGGAGCAUGUGGUUCAAUUCGAGACGAACCGAAGAACCUUACCCGGGUUUGACAUGUUAUCGUUUUAAGUUCCCAGAAACGGGAACCUAUCUUAUUGAAAAAUGAGAUGAUAUCACAGGUGUUGCAUGGCUGUCGUCAGCUCGUGCCGUGGGGUGUUCCCUUCAGUGGGGUAACGAGCGCAACCCCUGUCCCGUAUUAAAUAUUUACGGGAGACUUUUCAUCCUUGUGAUGGAAGGAAGUGGGGACGACGUCAAGUCAGCAUGGCCCUUAUGUCCGGGGCUACACACAUGCUACAAUGAAGCCGACAAUGGGUUGCCAAGCCGUAAGGCGGAGCUAAUCCCAUCAAACGGCUUCUCAGUGGGGAUCGAGGGCUGCAACCUGCCCUCGUGAACGCGGAAUUGGUAGUAAUCGGGU